UUCUGACGUGCAAAUCGAUCGUCAAAUUUGGGUAUAGGGGCGAAAGACUAAUCGAACCAUCUAGUAGCUGGUUCCCACCGAAGUUUCCCACAGGAUAGCUGGAACUUUUAACAGUUUUAUCAGGUAAAGCGAAUGAUUAGAGGCUCGAGGGGCGAAAUGCCCUUCUCCUAUUCUCAAACUUUAAAUAGGUAAGACGCUUCGGUUUGCUUAAUUGAAACCAAGCAUUGAAUGUGAGUUCCAAGUGGGCCAUUUUUGGUAAGCAGAACUGGCGAUGCGGGAUGAACCGAACGCGGAGUUAAGGUGUCUAAGUCGGCACUCAUCAGACCCCACAAAAAGUGUUGGUUGAUCAUGACAGCAGGACGGUGGCCAUGGAAGUUGGAAUCCGCUAAGGAAUGUGUAACAACUCACCUGCCGAAUCAAUUAGCCUUGAAAAUGGAUGACGCUUAAGUGCCGCACCGAUACUCUGCCGCUGAGGCAAAUGCGAGGCCUCAGCGAGUAGGUGGGCGUGCCGGUUGUGAGGAAGCGUGGGGCGUGAGCCUGCGUGAAACGGCCGGUAGUGCAGAUCUUGGUGGUAGUAGCAAAUAUUCAAAUGAGAACUUUGAAGACUGAAGUGGCGAACGGUUCCAAAUGAACAGCAGUUGGAUUUGGGUUAGUCGGUCCUAAGAGAUAGGUUAACUCCGUUUUAAGGUGCAGCUUUAGCUGCCUCCUAUCGAAAGGGAAUCAGGUUAAUAUUCCUGAACCGGGAUGAGGGUAUUUACUGCGGCAACGCAAACGAAGUCGUCGACGGCGGCGGGGGCCCUGGAAAGAGUUCUCUUUUCUUUUUAACGCACCUAUUGCCCUGGAAGCGAAUCAAUCGGAGAUAGGGCUACAUGGGCGGUAAAGCACAGCACUUCACGUUGUGUCCGGUGCGCUCCCGACGCCCCUUGAAAAGACGACGGAGAUAAUGAUCAUCUCACCCGGCCGUACGCAUAACCGCAGCAGGUCGCCAAGGUGAACAGCCUCUAGUUGAUAGAACAAUGUAGGUAAGGGAAGUCGGCAAAGUAGAUCCGUAACUUCGGGAAAAGGAUUGGCUCUAAGGACUGGGCGUCAGAGACUUGGUGACAACGCGACGGCACCUAAGCCCGGUAUUGGGGUCCUUUACGGAACCCGAGAAAGGCGGUGGGGCUGAAGCUGCGGAGCCUUGUUUGGCCACUCGGCCGUUCUGGCGCAAUUAACAGUCAACUUAGAACUGGUACGGACAAGGGGAAUCCGACUGUUUAAUUAAAACAAAGCAUUGCGAUGGCCGGAAAUGGUGNUGACGCAAUGUGAUUUCUGCCCAGUGCUCUGAAUGUCAAAGUGAAGAAAUUCAACCAAGCGCGGGUAAACGGCGGGAGUAACUAUGACUCUCUUAAGGUAGCCAAAUGCCUCGUCAUCUAACUAGUGACGCGCAUGAAUGGAUUAACGAGAUUCCCACUGUCCCUACUUACUACGCAGCGAAACCGCAGCCAAGGGAACGGACUUGGCAGAAACAGCGGGGAAAGAAGACCCUGUUGAGCUUGACUCUAGUCCGACUUUGUGAAAAGACAUUGGAGGUGUAGCAUAGGUGGGAGCUCCGGCGCCAAUGAAAUACCACUACUCUGAUCGUUUUUUUACUUAUUCAAUUAGGCGGAGAUGGGCUUCACCGCCCACCUUCUGGAUUUAAGGCGUUUCGCGCGCUGAUCCGAGUUGAAGACAUUGUCAGGUGGGGAGUUUGGCUGGGGC
Molecule: ribosomal RNA, 1740 nt
Filed under: metagenome
Description: eukaryotic LSU rRNA
Rfam family: Eukaryotic large subunit ribosomal RNA
Source: RNAcentral